This is a long non-coding RNA of Oryza sativa Japonica Group (Japanese rice), 765 nucleotides long. RefSeq lists it as uncharacterized. The record is from RefSeq and is a predicted model, not a curated record. Lineage: Eukaryota; Viridiplantae; Streptophyta; Magnoliopsida; Poales; Poaceae.
AAAAAAAAAAACGUACUCCUACCUUGUAUUGGGCUGAGAGUUGGCCUGCCUUCUCCCCGAUCAGCUUCUCCACCGCACGCUGCUCCGCCGCCUCCACGCUCAUCACCGCCGCCACCGCGCCUGCUAAAUCCAAAGUUUUAUCCAUCAUCAAAGGGACGCGUCGAUUCGUUGAUUGCUGCUGCUGUGCAGUGCGGCUCGAUCAGCGUACGCACCGAUGGCGACGAACGCCGGGGCGAGCGGCCGCCGGGCGUGGACGGCGACGACCUCGGCGGAGCCGGGAGGGAACCUCGCCGCGGCGAGCCGCGCCGCCUCCUCCAGCGCGUGGUAGCUGUGCUCGCUGUAGUCCACCCCGACGAGCACCGUCGUCGUCGCCGUCGUCGCGUCCCCGGUUGCAGCAUCAGUCGCCGCCGCCAUUGCAGGUAAUUUUCAGGGCAACGCACUGGCUCCGGUUUUGGGCACAACUACAAAGGUGUGAGAUGAUGGGGAGUUCCUAAAAGUUGCAUGUCACAAGUUGGAGUCGAUGGUUAUGUAAUUAUCUGCCAAUUAUGGAUGGAGGUUCACAAAUAGACUUUAAUAAAUAUGUUCUCCUUAUUUUGGCUUGGUUUUCUCUGUUUUUGUUUGGUGUGUCCUAUUUAGCUGAACUACGCUCUUUUCUGGAUUGCUACAAUGUAAUAAUUGGCUGUAGCUCUUUUUGAGCAAAGGCUGAGAUGUUAAAUUCCAUUAUCUUAAAAAAAUAAAACUGUGGGUAUUUCCUGCUGAUAUUUA